This 135-nucleotide ribosomal RNA is filed under the name uncultured bacterium. RNAcentral describes it as "partial 16S ribosomal RNA". It matches the Rfam family "Bacterial small subunit ribosomal RNA", at positions 355 to 507 of the family's 1533-position model. The record is from RNAcentral.
UGGGGAAUCUUGGACAAUGGGCGCAAGCCUGAUCCAGCCAUGCCGCGUGAGUGAAGAAGGCCUUAGGGUUGUAAAACUCUUUCGCCGGAGAAGAUAAUGACGGUAUCCGGAGAAGAAGCCCCGGCUAACUUCGUG